CGCUGAGACUCGUGGUUAGUUACCGGGCGGGAGCUAGCCGUGAGGUGAUGGAGUUACCGGUGAGUCACCGAGACAUGCUUCUGAGAUUGAUAUCAGUGCCGAGACCAAGACCGAGUGGUGGGUCGCCGGAAGAUCAUCGCUGCUCGAAAGAGGCACCGGGAAGUUGGGGUGCUGGAAGCAUUCAAGUUGGGUCACGGAGAGGUGGAGAGGUUACCAGGAUUCAAAUUUGGUUCCAUUCUGGUAAGUCACCGAGAAUGGAAGAUGUUGCCGAAGACAUGGAUGGGUGAUGCCGGUGAAGAGAAGCUUAGCUACUUGCAGCGGUGACCGUCACCGAGAUGUUGAUGACCUUGCGAAGGAUUAGAAAUCAAAGAGGUCCCGGACGGUGCGGGUAUUCAAAGUGCUGGACAGAUGGUUCGUUGACCAAGGUAGUGAUGAGUGUCGCUCGGACGGGUCUGCAGAACUGUCGGGUUCUAACCGGUGUACGAGAAAGAACGCCGGAAGCAGAAAUGUUAAUGUCCGGGUACCGGAAUAGGGCAUUGGUUACCGGGUAGGUGCCGAAGAUCGAGGUUCGGUGCUGACAAUCCGGGAUGAGGCAUGAUAUGAUUAGGGUACCGGGCUCUUAAUCAUGAAAUGUACAAGAGCGGGCCGGAGUUGGGCUAGUAGGUCCAAGUGUGACCAAGUUGUGCUAGCGGGAUGCUAGAUGCUACGGGCCUAAGUUGCUUAGCAGGGGCCUGGAAGUGAUGAACCCGAUUCAAGUAGAAAUAGAGAGUUGAUGUGCAAGACUAGCUACUCCGGGAAUGGACCUUGAUUUUUGGACUUGCCGCACCUUGGUGGCUUGUGGUACCCGCUGACUCACGUCUCCGGAAGCUCAUGUACCCGAUGACUCGGAGGCUUGGGGAGGAAGGUGAGGAGUGGUACGUGUACCCGGAAGCUCAUGUACCCGUACAUGACCCUUGCUCAAGGUCGGAGGUUCAUACCCUAACUCCUAGGGCCCCUCCUUCUAGCGC
This 1007-nucleotide long non-coding RNA is filed under the name Rosa chinensis. RNAcentral describes it as "sRNA RchiOBHm_Chr5g0032361". The record is from RNAcentral. Lineage: Eukaryota; Viridiplantae; Streptophyta; Magnoliopsida; Rosales; Rosaceae.